Long non-coding RNA from Parasteatoda tepidariorum (common house spider), 469 nucleotides. RefSeq lists it as uncharacterized. NCBI's taxonomy places the organism in Eukaryota, Metazoa, Arthropoda, Arachnida, Araneae, Theridiidae. The record is from RefSeq and is a predicted model, not a curated record.
AUCCCCCCCCCACAUCAUCAUCAACAGUAAAUUCGAUUGCAUUAUCAUAGCUAAUUUCAACACUUGUUUCGACAGACAAUAUAAGAAAACGUACGGCAAAACAAGAGACUAACCAGACAUUGAGAACAUGGCAGAAAGGGCUGUUAGAAUUGUCAUCAGUUCUUCUAUAUUUGCUGCUGCCAUGGCUGCUUCAUGGCAUCUCAUACCAGAUACAAAGUCAAAACUGGCCAUCAUGGGUAGUGUUGUUGUGGGGGUUCUUGGUGGUGUUCUGUUUUCAAAGUUUGUUGCACCACAAGAUGACGGACAAGAUAAUGUUCCUGCAGCACCUCUGGAAAAUUAAGUUAGCCAAUGAAACUUUUUAAUUUUCAACUCAUGAGUUUGAGUAGCAAUCUGCUUUUAUUUGAAAUGUGUCAGCUUUUAAGGUUUUAACCUUUUUGUAUUAUCGUGAAUAAACUUCAAUUUUUCUGCA